RNAcentral lists this ribosomal RNA (510 nucleotides) under Cladosporium oxysporum. RNAcentral's name for it is "eukaryotic LSU rRNA". The stretch from base 192 to 345 matches the Rfam family "5.8S ribosomal RNA". Lineage: Eukaryota; Fungi; Ascomycota; Dothideomycetes; Cladosporiales; Cladosporiaceae. The record is from RNAcentral.
AAGGUCUCCGUAGGUGAACCUGCGGAGGGAUCAUUACAAGUGACCCCGGUUUACCACCGGGAUGUUCAUAACCCUUUGUUGUCCGACUCUGUUGCCUCCGGGGCGACCCUGCCUUCGGGCGGGGGCUCCGGGUGGACACUUCAAACUCUUGCGUAACUUUGCAGUCUGAGUAAACUUAAUUAAUAAAUUAAAACUUUUAACAACGGAUCUCUUGGUUCUGGCAUCGAUGAAGAACGCAGCGAAAUGCGAUAAGUAAUGUGAAUUGCAGAAUUCAGUGAAUCAUCGAAUCUUUGAACGCACAUUGCGCCCCCUGGUAUUCCGGGGGGCAUGCCUGUUCGAGCGUCAUUUCACCACUCAAGCCUCGCUUGGUAUUGGGCAACGCGGUCCGCCGCGUGCCUCAAAUCGACCGGCUGGGUCUUCUGUCCCCUAAGCGUUGUGGAAACUAUUCGCUAAAGGGUGCUCGGGAGGCUACGUCCGUAAAACAACCCCAUUUCUAAGGUUGACCUCGGA